Pelobates cultripes (western spadefoot toad) is the source of this 322-nucleotide non-coding RNA. NCBI's taxonomy places the organism in Eukaryota, Metazoa, Chordata, Amphibia, Anura, Pelobatidae. The record is from the annotation of a GenBank genome assembly.
CUCACUGCACAUCCCGAAAAGGGUGUUUGUUUUGUCAGAUAAAAUGCCCCCUUGUUUACAUGAAUCCCCCCUACACACACUUUCCCUCUCCCAAACCUUCCCAUUGAGACAGCAAAGAAAGGCAAAUGGUUACCUCGUUCAGAAGAAAUGUGGCACUGGAAUCAGAAAGCGACAUAGAAGGGGCAUAGAUAGCCCAGAGCAGCACUCUCAAAUUCUCUUUUUACAGCAAAGGCACACUUUGCAUCCUCUGUUGAUCUUCUUCACCGUGUUCAUCAUCCCCUGUCUUUCUCUCCAUCACACACACAGACUAGUUAUAUCCUCC